RNAcentral lists this ribosomal RNA (228 nucleotides) under uncultured bacterium. RNAcentral's name for it is "partial 16S ribosomal RNA". It matches the Rfam family "Bacterial small subunit ribosomal RNA", at positions 568 to 795 of the family's 1533-position model. The record is from RNAcentral.
CGCGUAGGCGGUCUUGUCGGUCAGAUGUGAAAGCCCAGGGCUCAACCCUGGACGUGCAUUUGAAACAGCAAGACUUGAGUACGGGAGAGGAGAGCGGAAUUCCUGGUGUAGAGGUGAAAUUCGUAGAUAUCAGGAGGAACACCGAUGGCGAAGGCAGCUCUCUGGACCGAUACUGACGCUGAGGCGCGAAGGCGUGGGUAGCGAACAGGAUUAGAUACCCUGGUAGUC